Molecule: ribosomal RNA, 254 nt
Filed under: uncultured bacterium
Lineage: Bacteria
Description: partial 16S ribosomal RNA
Rfam family: Bacterial small subunit ribosomal RNA
Source: RNAcentral
UACGGAGGGGGCUAGCGUUGUUCGGAAUUACUGGGCGUAAAGCGCGCGUAGGCGGCUUUGUAAGUUAGAGGUGAAAGCCCGAAGCUCAACUUCGGAAUUGCCUUUAAGACUGCAUCGCUAGAAUUGUGGAGAGGUAAGUGGAAUUCCGAGUGUAGAGGUGAAAUUCGUAGAUAUUCGGAAGAACACCAGUGGCGAAGGCGACUUACUGGACACAUAUUGACGCUGAGGUGCGAAAGCGUGGGGAGCAAACAGGG